UGGGGAAUAUUGCACAAUGGAGGGAACUCUGAUGCAGCGACGCCGCGUGAACGAAGAAGGCUUUCGAGUCGUAAAGUUCUUUUAUAUGGGAAGAUAAUGACGGUACCAUAAGAAAAAGCCCCGGCUAACUACGUGCCAGCAGCCGCGGUAAUACGUAGGGGGCUAGCGUUGUCCGGAAUCACUGGGCGUAAAGGGUUCGCAGGCGGAAAUGCAAGUCAGGUGUAAAAGGCAGUAGCUUAACUACUGUAAGCAUUUGAAACUGCAUAUCUUGAGAAGAGUAGAGGUAAGUGGAAUUUUUAGUGUAGCGGUGAAAUGCGUAGAUAUUAAAAAGAAUACCGGUGGCGAAGGCGACUUACUGGGCUCAUUCUGAAGCUGAGGAACGAAAGCGUGGGUAGCAAACAGG
RNAcentral lists this ribosomal RNA (403 nucleotides) under Fusobacteriota bacterium. RNAcentral describes it as "Fusobacteria bacterium partial 16S ribosomal RNA". It matches the Rfam family "Bacterial small subunit ribosomal RNA", at positions 355 to 776 of the family's 1533-position model. Lineage: Bacteria; Fusobacteriati; Fusobacteriota. The record is from RNAcentral.